CCCCGCCCCACUCCGCCCCGCCCCUCCCGGACGUGUUCCCGCGCCCUCCUUCUCCUUCCGCUGCCUCCCCAGGUCCGGGGAUCCCACCGGGACCGGGCGCCCGAGGUGCCUGCCCAGAGCGGAGCUAUGAGCAGUUGCAGGCGGGACGUCAAUGAGGAGUUCAACGAACAGCUGAGGCUCCAGCAGCUCCAAGAGGAGGCCAAGCUCGCGGCCGGCGGCUCGCCGGAGGGCCCCGAGGGCGAUGACCCUUACACGUUCGUGGACCCGGCGGAUGGCACCGCCUACGAGUGGGACCGGGACAAGAAAGCUUGGUUCCCUAAGAUUACGGAGGAUUUCCUUGCCAAUUACCAGGCUAACUAUGGGUUCCCUGCCGAUAGCUCCUCUUCUUCCGGUGGGCAAAAAGAGAACCCGGCUGAGGUGGAUGUGAAAGCUUCCCAAAAAGCUGCGGACCAGAAAGCCACACAGAACGCUGAAAAGAAGCAGAAAGGCGAAAAAAGAAAGCCUGAGCCGGGGUGGUUUCAUGUGGAGGAAGACAAGAACACCAACGUGUAUGUGACUGGCUUGCCUCCAGACAUUACAAAAGAUGAAUUUGUACAGCUCAUGUCCAAAUGUGGCAUCAUCAUGAGAGACCCGCAGACGGAAGAAUACAAAAUCAAACUCUAUAAAGAUAAGCAAGGCAAUCUUAAAGGAGAUGGACUUUGCUGUUACUUGAAGAGAGAAUCUGUGGAUCUGGCAUUAAGACUUCUGGAUGAUGAUGAAAUCCGAGGCUACAAACUGCAUGUGGAAAUGGCAAAGUUUCAGCUAAAGGGAGAGUACGAUGCCAGCAAAAAGAAGAAGAAAUGCAAAGACUACAGGAAAAAGAUGUCCCAGCAACAAAAGCAGCUGGAUUGGCGGCCCGAGAAGAAAGCCACCACCACGCGAAUGCGGCAUGAGCGGGUGGUUAUCAUCAAGAACAUGUUCCACCCCAAGGAUUUCGAGGCUGACCCGCUGGUACUAAAUGAGAUCCGGGAAGACCUGCGAACAGAGUGUGAAAAGUUCGGGCAAGUCAAGAAGGUCCUUCUCUUUGACCGACACCCGGACGGGGUGGCCUCCGUGUCCUAUAAGGAACCCGAGGAAGCUGACCUGUGCAUUCAAGCCCUCAACGGCAGGUGGUUUGGUGGUCGCCAAUUAAACGUGGAAGUGUGGGAUGGAGUGACUGAUUUUCAGGUGGAGGAGACAUCAAGAGAGAGGGAAGAAAGACUGAAAGGUUGGGAGUCUUUUUUAGAGCAUCAUAACAAACAGAAAGAAACGGAUUCCUCUGAUCCAAAUUCUGCUUCCGGAAGUGUGGGCCUGGGAAAAGGGAAGCCGUCCCUGGCGGAUAUGACCUCACCUGGAACAAAGGAGGAAGCUGGUAAUGGGGAAUGCAGUAGAGGAGGGAUCCAGUCUAAGGACAGCAGCUUGGGCCUGAGUGAUAAUCAAGACCAGGCAUGCCAUUAACCCCUUAAGCAUGCUUUUGUAGGGCAAUGUUUGGAUUUCUUUCUUUGUGCUUCGGGGUGAUUACUGGUAGUGUUUCCAUGAAUACAUGCAUAUUAAUCAGAUGUCAUCCACUUAGUGCUUUGAAGUUUUCAUUAAAAGCAGUAUUUAAUGAGGAACUAAAAAUAUGUUAAUGGGCUGACCUAGUGAAACAUCCCCAAGUCCCUGGUACAGAGUGAACAGAACUUGUUCAUGUCAAUUCCUUGCUUGUAAAGUCUCUAAAGGUAUCUAUGUGUGAAGUAGGUUGUAGUCUAACUUCAAAAUUUGUGAUCAUAAAACUAAAGAUAAUUUGAUAAUUAAAUUGAAUUUAAGGCUUAAGUUGAAUUUUAAAUACGACUAUUAAAUGUUUUUCUAUUUUUAAACAAAGAAAUGAUGAUAUUGAGCAAGCUAGGAAGACAUAUGAACUGAUGCAGAGGGAAGUGAGCAGAACCAGUAGAACAGUAUAUACAGGAACAACAGUAUUGUGAAGGCAAACAACUGAAAGACUUAAGUACUCUGAUCAUCGUGAUAACCAACCGUGAUUCCAGAGAACCCAUUAUGAAACAUGCUACCCAUCUCUUGACUGAGAGGUGAUGGACUCAGGGUGCAGAAUGAGACAUAUAUUUUUUGGACAUGACCAAUGCAGGAAUUUGUUUUGCUUGACUAUGCAUAUUUGUUACAAGGGUUUUGCUUUGUUUUGUUUUUAGCGGGAGAGGGGAGGUGGGAGGGAGAGAAUAGAUUUUUGUUAAUUGAAAAAAAGAAAAUUUAAUUUAAAAAAAAAAAAGGAAAAGAAAAAUAGCUGGACCAGACAAAUUAUACACUAAGAAAUCUAUACUGGACUUAAUAUAUUUUUCAAAACAUUGAGGGAUUGAUUUUUCAAUAUAUUUCAAAGAAGUAAAUGAAAUGAUUGGAAGAAACCAUGGAUGGUAUUUCUUCAAACAUUUCAAUCCUUUAAUAGACUUUCAUCUUAUCAGUGUGGGUAUUCUCUUCACUGUUGAAGAUUGCAACCUAACUUAAUUUCCUUUCACAUCCCUCCAUAACCCCCAUCUCCACCUCCACCCCCAAGGAACUUGAUGGUAGUGUUGGGGGCCUUCCUCCAUGUCUCUUGACAUUGAUUACCUUCACUUUCCCUUUGUGAUUGGCCCUCUCUUUCUGUUAAUAUACCUCUCUGAUAACAGUCUUCAUGCUACUUCUCCUGUGGAAUUCUUCAUUGAUAAUGUGUUAAGAGUAUCAUCACCCAAAAAAUGGUGACUGAGAGGACAUUAGCAACAACUGACCUAUAUAGUUAUGUGUUCAUCUCUGUAAAAUUGUUGAGAUUAACUUAUGUACAUACGUAGAGUGUCCUUGAUGAAAAUAUAAGAAGGGAAGACAUGGGCUCUUGUAGACAAUUUUCUACAACAGACCACAUCUUUGCAGUCACAUAAUUGAUUGAAAGGUAUGGGGAAUACAUGAUCCUACUGUGUUUAUUGUUAUUACCAAAAAAAAAGUUUGAGUAAAGUACAAUAAAAAAAAAUUUCUAAAACUCAUACCAGAUUCUGUGAUAAAUGUAACCACAGGAAUUAUGUUGUACAACAGUUCUUCCCUCAUUGAAUGUAAGCUCCUUAAGGACAAGGGUUAUUUUGAAUAAAUGCUUGUAGAUUGA
Sarcophilus harrisii (Tasmanian devil) is the source of this 3133-nucleotide RNA transcript. It is a transcript of the gene named HIV Tat-specific factor 1 pseudogene, with no coding region annotated. Lineage: Eukaryota; Metazoa; Chordata; Mammalia; Dasyuromorphia; Dasyuridae. The record is from RefSeq and is a predicted model, not a curated record. The transcript has a single exon.